RNAcentral lists this unclassified non-coding RNA (2300 nucleotides) under Rhopalosiphum maidis (corn leaf aphid). RNAcentral describes it as "facilitated trehalose transporter Tret1-2 homolog, transcript variant X3". The record is from RNAcentral. Lineage: Eukaryota; Metazoa; Arthropoda; Insecta; Hemiptera; Aphididae.
UAAUACCGCGAUAUAGAUAGACGUUUAUAAAACAGUUACAUAUUAUUAUGUAAAAUACAAAAGUCUGGAAAAAAUAUUGAAUAAUACAUAAUAAUAUUUUAUAUUUAUAUACUGAUAGGUACAGCACCAAGUAUUUAAUUGUGUUUACCUAUGCUCACAUGCGAUUAAUGCAGAAUUAUAUAUCGUCCGUUUUCAUAUAAGGACGUCCAUCAUUCGUUGAAAUGGCCUUGUCGAAUCGUCAUGAAAAACCGAAAAUCUUUACGCUGAUAUACAACCUAUCAGGAGGAGCUAUCAAUGCUCAAUUCAUCAUUACGGUGAUUGCGGCACUGGGAGCGAUAGCCACUGGUACCAUACUCGGAUGGUCGUCAUCGGCCCAGACCAUGUUCGAAUCGGACGAGUCGCUGUUGCCGUUUACGGUCACCGCAAAGGACACGCAGACGUUCAGUUCGGUGUUUGGCAUUGGCGCGGCCCUGGGAGCGCUACCGGCAGGAUACGUGUCCAGGACGUUUGGUCGACCGGCCAGUAUAAUGUUGUUCGAGGGAUUCUUGUUGGUCGGCUGGAUCAUGCUGGUGUUGCCCACUUACGUUUGGGUGCUGUCUUCCGGCCGGAUGAUGCAAGGCAUCGGAGCCGGAGCUCUGUGCGCCGUUAUUCCGUCGUACGUCGGCGAGAUAGCUGAGCCACGGAUGAGAGGUCGUCUGGGAACGAUAUUCCAAUUAUUCAUAGUCAUCGGUAUACUGUACUCGUAUACGUCGGGUGCGUUUAUGAAUUACAUGCCGUUUUGCAUCGCUUGUGCUUUUUGGGUGAUAUUACAUUUUAUCGGCGUCCUGUACAUACCCGAAUCGCCGUACCAUCUUAUGAACAUCAACGAUCCCGACCGGGCGGCCGCUUCGCUGCAGAUACUCAGAGACUCGUCGGACACAACUGAAGAAUUGGCAUCCAUCAAGACGUUUGUCGAAAAACAGCAAUCUCAAAGUUUUACAGUGUUGGAAGUUUUGUCUGACAAAGUGAAUCGCAAGGCCUUGUUAAUCAGUAUUGGAUGUAUGUUUUUCCAGCAAAUGAGUGGUAUAAACGUGGUAAUAUUUUACAUGACCGACAUAUUCAAAUCGACCGGCAGCAACAUAAGUCCGAAUACGUGCACCAUAAUCGUCGGUAUUGUACAGCUCGUCAUGACAGUCGUAUCUUUUACUAUAAUCGACAAGAGUGGUCGAAAGGCGUUACUCGUGAUCUCGGCGUUACUGAUGGCGACCUGCUACGCGGGAUUGGGUGGAUUUUUCUUGAUCAAAACGCAUUACCUAGAACUGGCGUCAAAACUCAACUGGUUGCCCCUAGUGUGCAUCGCUGUGUACAUAUCGGCGUUUUCCAUCGGCUACGGUCCCGUGCCAUGGAUAAUGAUGGGCGAAAUAUAUUCGUCGGAGGUAAAGCCAAUCGGGACGAGUCUGACUACCUGUACCAACUGGACGCUAGUGUUCGUGGUCACGUACGUGUCUACAGAGCUGACUCGUUGGCUGGGCCAAGCUGGUUGCUUCCUAACAUUCAGCGCGUUUUGCUUGAUGGGAGCAGCGUUUGCUGCAUCUAUUGUACCAGAAACGAAAAACAAGACAUUGGCCGAAAUACAGCUGAAACUAGUCGGAAAAUCUAAGAUCAUCCCGGUGGCGGUCAAUGUUGUGGAGGUUGUGGGGGAUGAGGCGCCUCAAAUGACUACCACGUUUUCAUAAAUUCAACGUUUAAAUCUUGAUCGACGUUUUCCAAACGGGAUAUCCAAGAUCUUCCCUCUCCACCAUGGCCAAUAAUUGCCAGUUCUAUAUACACAUGUGCACCUACCGUUGAAAGAGUAAUUAAAACUAUCCUCCGAAGAUACCAACUUUUUUUCAAAUGAGAAUCACCAUGUUUCCUGUUAAUUGUUAAGUAGAUGAUUUUUUUUGAACACGUUGAUGUAUCCAAAUCGAAAUUCAACCAAAUAUUUUUGGAGUUAAUUAAUAAUUUUUACGAAAAAUAAUAUCUUCAUGAUAAUAGAUUUGAUAUAAAUUCCUACAUCAUCAUGAAAAAAAAAAUUAUCUGCUUAAUAAUUUAUUAUUUGAAAAUGUGUUCUUUAAGUAUAUAAUACAUAAUACAAUAAAGAAGAAAACUUUGAAGUGAGUAUCAUGCUUGUGAAUCGCCCUGUAAAGUUUUAUAAGAUAUGUUUAGGAGAUUAGAAUUCUCAAACAUAUUUAAGUCUCGCGGCGAAACAUGUUUUUCAGUACUUAUUCAUUUACAAUUAAUGUAUUCCAUAAAUAAUAUAAUAAACCAUAAUGAAAACUCGA